This 514-nucleotide long non-coding RNA is filed under the name Parus major (Great Tit). RNAcentral describes it as "lncRNA (ENSPMJG00000016881.1)". The record is from RNAcentral. Lineage: Eukaryota; Metazoa; Chordata; Aves; Passeriformes; Paridae.
UGGGUUUAUCCUGGCCUGGAGCUGCAGGAGCUCCCACCUGAGGCUCUGCCCGGGGCUGGGAGGGGUUAAUGAACAGUGGGAUUAAUGAACAGUGGGGUUAAUGAACAGUGGGGUUAAUGAACAGUGGGGUUAAUGAACAGUGGGGUUAAUGAACAGUGGGGUUAAUGAACAAUGGGGGUUAAUUCAAACAGCUGGCUGGGUGGGGGAAUGAUUCCCUGAUGAAUAAUUCCCAAUAUUUCCCAAAUCAGCUUGGGACAGGGAAGGAACACCUCGGUGUAGGCCAGGCCUGAUGAGCCACUUUUGUCCCUGCCAGUGGUGACCCCAGAGCUCAUCCUCAGAUGGAUUUGGGAUCCACCUUUCCUGGGAGCUGCUCUCCAGCACAGAUGUCGUUUCCAUGUGGUUUCCAGCUGGUCAGAAAGUUCUGAUGAAGGAGAGCUGGAGAGGAGCUCUGGAAAAGGGCCUGGAGCGCUGGGAUACAGGGAAUGGAAUAAAUGAGAUUUUUGGGAAGGAAUUU